Molecule: ribosomal RNA, 253 nt
Filed under: uncultured bacterium
Lineage: Bacteria
Description: partial 16S ribosomal RNA
Rfam family: Bacterial small subunit ribosomal RNA
Source: RNAcentral
UACGAAGGGUGCUAGCGUUGUUCGGAAUUACUGGGCGUAAAGCGCGUGUAGGCGGGCCGUUAAGUCGGGGGUGAAAGCCCAGAGCUCAACUCUGGAACUGCCUUCGAUACUGGCGGCCUGGAGCAUGAUAGAGGCGAGUUGAAUUGCGAGUGUAGAGGUGAAAUUCGUAGAUAUUCGGAAGAACACCAGUGGCGAAGGCGACUCGCUGGACAAGUAUUGACGCUGAGGUGCGAAAGCGUGGGGAGCAAACAGG